CAUAAUGCCUUCAAGGUCCAUCCAUGCAGGAUUUCCUUCUUUCUCAUGGCUAAAUAAUGUUCCACUGUAUGUCGAUACAUACCCAGAAGUAGGAUUGCUGGAUCCUAUUAGGAUCAUCUGGUAGUUUUGGUUUUUUUUGUUUGUUUGUUUUGUUUUUGUUGUUGUUGUUGUUGUUGCCUUUUAUUUUCCAAACUAGAUGAAAACAAUGAACUUAGAUAUCCAAGAUACAGCAAAUCUCAUACAGAAGAAAAAUACACUAAGAUGCUCCAUAAAUUGCUUAAAACGAAAUAAAGAAAAAAAAUCUUAAAAGUAGCUAGAGGGGGAAAAAGAUGUAUAUUUCUCAUUGCAAUAAAUGCAAAAUAGAAAUAUAAUCUAAAAACAUUGUUUAAGUGCCGAAAAAUAAGAACUGUCACCCUAGAAUUUUUUACCUAGUGAAAAUAUCUUGAUGUGAUGUAACACCAUUUGAAAGUAGACUGACAAGUAUUAUAUGUAUGCUAUAAACUCUAAAGCAACAACUAAAACAGCAUAGAGUUAUUGCUUAUAAGCCAACGAAGGAGAAGGAGAUAAAAAAAAUCCUUGAUUGAUCCAAGAGUAGGCUGAAAAAGAGAGAAAAGAGAACAAAGGACAGAUGAAAUUUGGCACUGUUAGAACAGUGCCAAACUAUUUACCCUAUCCUAAGUAAUACAGGUGAAUAAGUAGGCAAAGAGGUGGAUAUGAUAUAGAUGGUGGGAGUGGGUGGUAGGUAAGUAGAUGGGUAAGUGAAAAGUUGAAGGUCAUGGAGUGCAUACAUUUAUCUCCAGGUCUUAGAUUCUUCCAGAGUCUGGGGGGCCUUGACCUUGGUUCCUGAUAUACCUAGUGACUACUUAAUUUCAGCCUAUUUUCUUCCCUGGGAAAGACCUGUAAGGAGAUGUAUCAUGAAAGAUGGAUUGAAUUUAGACACCAAGAAAGAGAAGGGGAUGGUUUUUCAGGAAAAGAUAAAAGAUAAGCAAAGAUAGUAGAGAAAAAAAAAAUCAGAGACAGCUAGAAUACCCAUAGGAAUUGAAAGAAGGUAUAGGAUCAGGAGGGUAUGAAAGCAAAAAAAGUUGAAUGCCUAACCCUAGUACAGUUACUUCAAUGACUGCUAUUACUGUUAGUUUAUUGAGUAGUUACUAUGUUCCAUAAGGUUUGCUAGAGGUGGUACAUAUCUUGUAGCUACCCUCUGAAGUUGGUAUUAUUACCCUAAUGUUAUAUGUAAGUAUAUUAACAAAAAGAGAUAGAUUAACAUGGCUAUGGACACAUAGUGGGUAAAUGUCUCAGCUGGAAUUCAAACCUGGACGAGGGUGACCCCAAUCUGGUCCUUUUGUUGCCUCAUGGAAACAAUCUUCUCCCUGGGUGGACUAUGUAGUAGUUUGAGAGGUCUUACUAUCUUCAUAGGCCCUCCACCUUGGGAUGCUAUAUUUUCUUCAGGACUUGUGAUCCUUAGAAAUAAGUCCAAAAACGUCGUUUGACCUGGGGUGGUCCUGGUACUGGGCCUCAGAAACUCAGGAAACAGAGAGUGAGUACCUUAAAGGGGGCACGGCUUUCUCUCAUCAGUCUUGCUCACUCUGGGCAAGAGUCCCCCUCCUCUUAGGGACCCUGGAGAUUGGGGGAGAGCUUUCUGUACUGGCUUUGAAUCCCAGGUCUCACCAGAUGUAUGACCCCAGACUAAUCCCUUUAUUAUUCUGAGCCUCAGUUUCUUUUAUAUAUAUAUAUUGGUGUUCAAUUUGCCAACAUAUAGAAUAACACCCAGUGCUCAUCCCAUCAAGUUGAGCCUCAGUUUCUUUAUUUGUAAAAAGAGACUAUAGGUCUUAGCUCUUGGAUGAGCAGGUGUUAUCAAAUGCUCCACCAAGCUGGGUCAUUUCUCCCUUAAACAAACAAACAAACAAACAAACAGACAAACAAAAACAGUGAGAGGCUGGGAGGGGUGGCUGGCAUCAUGCAGGGACUGGCUCUGGUUGCACUGAACUCAGGGUGCUAAGAUAAAGUGAGAGGAGACAGGAUAGGGACAGCCUUUAACCUCAGACAGUGCAGGGUUCUGUUCCCCGCUCUGCCACCUACUGGCUGUACUUGCACUUUGUAUAAGUUCUGAACAUUUCUGAGAUGUGGUUUCCUCAGCUCUGAAGGGGGAUAAUCAUGGGGCCUACCUCAAAUGGAGUAUCAGGAGAACUCAAUGACAAGUGUCUGCCAGGGCCUGGCCUGGAGCUGGGGACACAGCUAUUUUGUGCUAUUUUUGGGACAUUGUGCUAUUUUUAGCACAUGGGGCCUGAUGAGGGGUGGAUUCCUGGCAUACAGGGCAAGCAGCUCCUCUCCUUGCUCCUCCCAGCCUAGCGUUUGGCUAAACAAUGUCAGGGUUGGCAACUAAAGACAGAAGCAUGAGGAGAUUGGUUUGAGGAGGAAGAGAGCUGGUGAGGGGCAGAGGAACUCCAACCCAGGACUGUUGGGACUGCAGCACUACUACCUUGCUUUCCUGAGUAAUGUCUCUGGGACUUCAUAUAAAUGAAAUCAUACACAGGAUCCCUGGGUGGCUCAGCGAUUGAGAGUCUG
Molecule: long non-coding RNA, 2562 nt
Organism: Canis lupus familiaris (dog)
Lineage: Eukaryota; Metazoa; Chordata; Mammalia; Carnivora; Canidae
Exons: 3
Source: RefSeq, a predicted model, not a curated record